RNAcentral lists this ribosomal RNA (2902 nucleotides) under Klebsiella pneumoniae. RNAcentral's name for it is "23S ribosomal RNA". It matches the Rfam family "Bacterial large subunit ribosomal RNA". The record is from RNAcentral. RNAcentral also lists the same sequence under 4 other names. Lineage: Bacteria; Pseudomonadati; Pseudomonadota; Gammaproteobacteria; Enterobacterales; Enterobacteriaceae.
GGUUAAGCGACUAAGCGUACACGGUGGAUGCCCUGGCAGUCAGAGGCGAUGAAGGACGUGCUAAUCUGCGAAAAGCGUCGGUAAGGUGAUAUGAACCGUUAUAACCGGCGAUGUCCGAAUGGGGAAACCCAGUGCAAUUCGUUGCACUAUCGUUAACUGAAUACAUAGGUUAACGAGGCGAACCGGGGGAACUGAAACAUCUAAGUACCCCGAGGAAAAGAAAUCAACCGAGAUUCCCCCAGUAGCGGCGAGCGAACGGGGAGCAGCCCAGAGUCUGAAUCAGCUUGUGUGUUAGUGGAACGGUCUGGAAAGUCCGACGGUACAGGGUGAUAGUCCCGUACACCAAAAUGCACAGGUUGUGAACUCGAAGAGUAGGGCGGGACACGUGGUAUCCUGUCUGAAUAUGGGGGGACCAUCCUCCAAGGCUAAAUACUCCUGACUGACCGAUAGUGAACCAGUACCGUGAGGGAAAGGCGAAAAGAACCCCGGCGAGGGGAGUGAAAAAGAACCUGAAACCGUGUACGUACAAGCAGUGGGAGCACCUUCGGGUGUGACUGCGUACCUUUUGUAUAAUGGGUCAGCGACUUAUAUUCUGUAGCAAGGUUAACCGUAUAGGGGAGCCGCAGGGAAACCGAGUCUUAACUGGGCGUUAAGUUGCAGGGUAUAGACCCGAAACCCGGUGAUCUAGCCAUGGGCAGGUUGAAGGUUGGGUAACACUAACUGGAGGACCGAACCGACUAAUGUUGAAAAAUUAGCGGAUGACUUGUGGCUGGGGGUGAAAGGCCAAUCAAACCGGGAGAUAGCUGGUUCUCCCCGAAAGCUAUUUAGGUAGCGCCUCGUGAACUCAUCUUCGGGGGUAGAGCACUGUUUCGGCUAGGGGGUCAUCCCGACUUACCAACCCGAUGCAAACUACGAAUACCGAAGAAUGUUAUCACGGGAGACACACGGCGGGUGCUAACGUCCGUCGUGAAGAGGGAAACAACCCAGACCGCCAGCUAAGGUCCCAAAGUCAUGGUUAAGUGGGAAACGAUGUGGGAAGGCACAGACAGCCAGGAUGUUGGCUUAGAAGCAGCCAUCAUUUAAAGAAAGCGUAAUAGCUCACUGGUCGAGUCGGCCUGCGCGGAAGAUGUAACGGGGCUAAACCAUGCACCGAAGCUGCGGCAGCGACACUAUGUGUUGUUGGGUAGGGGAGCGUUCUGUAAGCCUGCGAAGGUGUGCUGUGAGGCAUGCUGGAGGUAUCAGAAGUGCGAAUGCUGACAUAAGUAACGAUAAAGCGGGUGAAAAGCCCGCUCGCCGGAAGACCAAGGGUUCCUGUCCAACGUUAAUCGGGGCAGGGUGAGUCGACCCCUAAGGCGAGGCCGAAAGGCGUAGUCGAUGGGAAACAGGUUAAUAUUCCUGUACUUGGUGUUACUGCGAAGGGGGGACGGAGAAGGCUAUGUUAGCCGGGCGACGGUUGUCCCGGUUUAAGCAUGUAGGCUGGUUAUCCAGGCAAAUCCGGAUAAUCAAGGCUGAGGUGUGAUGACGAGGCACUACGGUGCUGAAGUAACAAAUGCCCUGCUUCCAGGAAAAGCCUCUAAGCAUCAGGUAACAUCAAAUCGUACCCCAAACCGACACAGGUGGUCAGGUAGAGAAUACCAAGGCGCUUGAGAGAACUCGGGUGAAGGAACUAGGCAAAAUGGUGCCGUAACUUCGGGAGAAGGCACGCUGGUGUGUAGGUGAAGUCCCUGCGGAUGGAGCUGAGACCAGUCGAAGAUACCAGCUGGCUGCAACUGUUUAUUAAAAACACAGCACUGUGCAAACACGAAAGUGGACGUAUACGGUGUGACGCCUGCCCGGUGCCGGAAGGUUAAUUGAUGGGGUUAUCCGUAAGGAGAAGCUCUUGAUCGAAGCCCCGGUAAACGGCGGCCGUAACUAUAACGGUCCUAAGGUAGCGAAAUUCCUUGUCGGGUAAGUUCCGACCUGCACGAAUGGCGUAAUGAUGGCCAGGCUGUCUCCACCCGAGACUCAGUGAAAUUGAACUCGCUGUGAAGAUGCAGUGUACCCGCGGCAAGACGGAAAGACCCCGUGAACCUUUACUAUAGCUUGACACUGAACAUUGAGCCUUGAUGUGUAGGAUAGGUGGGAGGCUUUGAAGCGUGGACGCCAGUCUGCGUGGAGCCAACCUUGAAAUACCACCCUUUAAUGUUUGAUGUUCUAACGUUGGCCCCUGACCGGGGUUGCGGACAGUGUCUGGUGGGUAGUUUGACUGGGGCGGUCUCCUCCCAAAGCGUAACGGAGGAGCACGAAGGUUAGCUAAUCCUGGUCGGACAUCAGGAGGUUAGUGCAAUGGCAUAAGCUAGCUUGACUGCGAGCGUGACGGCGCGAGCAGGUGCGAAAGCAGGUCAUAGUGAUCCGGUGGUUCUGAAUGGAAGGGCCAUCGCUCAACGGAUAAAAGGUACUCCGGGGAUAACAGGCUGAUACCGCCCAAGAGUUCAUAUCGACGGCGGUGUUUGGCACCUCGAUGUCGGCUCAUCACAUCCUGGGGCUGAAGUAGGUCCCAAGGGUAUGGCUGUUCGCCAUUUAAAGUGGUACGCGAGCUGGGUUUAGAACGUCGUGAGACAGUUCGGUCCCUAUCUGCCGUGGGCGCUGGAGAAUUGAGGGGGGCUGCUCCUAGUACGAGAGGACCGGAGUGGACGCAUCACUGGUGUUCGGGUUGUCAUGCCAAUGGCACUGCCCGGUAGCUAAAUGCGGAAGAGAUAAGUGCUGAAAGCAUCUAAGCACGAAACUUGCCCCGAGAUGAGUUCUCCCUGAGACUUUAAGUCUCCUGAAGGAACGUUGAAGACGACGACGUUGAUAGGCCGGGUGUGUAAGCGCAGCGAUGCGUUGAGCUAACCGGUACUAAUGAACCGUGAGGCUUAACCUU